UAUUGUCUAUUUUCCAUUAUAUCUCAACACUGCCUUUAAUUGCCUCUUUCCACCAGAUUUACAUAUUAUCCCUCCCGGCUGUUCACACAUAGACUUUCCUUUACUUGGCAAUCUUCCAGUCACUCCAUACUACAGACAGAGGUACUAAAACAGCAAAGCAGUUGAUGAGAGUCAAAAUAAAACUACAUUAUGUUAUACUACAUGGCCUACAGAUGAGUGAACAAUUAAACAACAGAGCACCUGCGACUGUCAUCAGAAGUUCUCUUCCUUUUCUUAAAACUGUUUAAGUACUUUUGGGCAGGUAUGUAACAAGGUUGUAGAGGCUUAACAAAUGUCUCUUCAAAUGUUAUCUAAUUCCAUUAUUUAUCACUACUCCAAGGAAAUGUAAGUCGGAAUUAAUGAUUCUCUCAAAUACCAAAUGAAAAUUGUUCUUACAGGAAUUGGCUUCAUAACCCUGACACUUGAGGCACCUGGGGAAGCAGAGACAUUCCCUGGAGAUUCACACUGAUCAUUAACGCAGCCAGACUCAGCAAUACAUCUACAUGUGCCUAACUGCAAAGAUAUAAGGAAGCUUAAUGGUUUUAAUGCAAUGCUCAACAUAAAUACACACCUAUUUCUUAAGUCAGCUGAACAGUGACACAUGUAAGCAAAGAGGCACUUUGUAUACAUGCUACAGAACAAAGGAAGACAAAGUCAACUGAAUGGUUUUGGGAAGUAAUAAAAGAAAUGCAACAAAUUCACAAAUUAAA
This is a long non-coding RNA of Aquila chrysaetos chrysaetos, 749 nucleotides long. RefSeq lists it as uncharacterized. The transcript has 2 exons. NCBI's taxonomy places the organism in Eukaryota, Metazoa, Chordata, Aves, Accipitriformes, Accipitridae. The record is from RefSeq and is a predicted model, not a curated record.